This 325-nucleotide unclassified non-coding RNA is filed under the name uncultured soil eukaryote. RNAcentral's name for it is "sequence contains 5.8S rRNA gene, ITS2, 28S rRNA gene". The record is from RNAcentral.
AACGCAAGUUGCGCCCCAAGCCGUUAGGCCGAGGGCACGUCUGCCUGGGUGUCACGCAUCGUUGCCCCCCACCAAAACACGCUAACGCGCUUGUCCUUGGCGGGGGGCGCACGUUGGCCUCCCGUGCGUUGCCGCGCGCGGUUGGCCCAAAUUCGAGUUCUCGGAGACGAGUCCCGCGACUAUCGGUGGUGUUCCAAAGAGAGCCUCGAGUUCCAGUCGCGCGGUCUGGUCUCCUUCGUGGGACUCUCUGACCCUGAGAGGGCGCCGUUUCGAGCGGCGCUCGCAUCGCGACCCCAGGUCAGGCGGGAUUACCCGCUGAGUUUAA